Molecule: long non-coding RNA, 278 nt
Filed under: Lathyrus oleraceus (garden pea)
Lineage: Eukaryota; Viridiplantae; Streptophyta; Magnoliopsida; Fabales; Fabaceae
Description: Pisum sativum (pea) long non-coding RNA (PSAT_LNC032752)
Source: RNAcentral
CCUGCAGUAAGCCACUCUUCCUUAUUUUGCUGCCUAAUUUCAAGCUUCUUAGAUCUACCUCGCUUCAUUCCCUGUCGGAAUGGUGACUGGGAAGGGAAGCACAACAAUAACGCCUUUUUCCUUUUUUCUCCCGAUUAGACGAAAGACAUGUUAGGGCUGUAUCCGAAACAUUUUUGAACUGCCGGCCCGACAACCAAGCCUAUAACCGACAAUAAGAGGUCAAGUUGAGACAUACAAAGGCGCCAGUGAAGAGCUUAAAAUCAGUACAAGGGCUGCUA